This 254-nucleotide ribosomal RNA is filed under the name uncultured bacterium. RNAcentral describes it as "partial 16S ribosomal RNA". It matches the Rfam family "Bacterial small subunit ribosomal RNA", at positions 524 to 777 of the family's 1533-position model. The record is from RNAcentral.
UACGUAGGGCGCAAGCGUUAUCCGGAAUUACUGGGCGUAAAGCGCACGUAGGCGGAUCGAUCAGUCAGGGGUGAAAUCCCAGGGCUCAACCCUGGAACUGCCUUUGAUACUGUCGAUCUGGAGUAUGGAAGAGGUGAGUGGAAUUCCGAGUGUAGAGGUGAAAUUCGUAGAUAUUCGGAGGAACACCAGUGGCGAAGGCGGCUCACUGGUCCAUUACUGACGCUGAGGUGCGAAAGCGUGGGGAGCAAACAGGG